Molecule: small nucleolar RNA, 113 nt
Filed under: Cebus imitator (Panamanian white-faced capuchin)
Lineage: Eukaryota; Metazoa; Chordata; Mammalia; Primates; Cebidae
Description: Small Cajal body specific RNA 11 (ENSCCAG00000011093.1)
Rfam family: Small Cajal body specific RNA 11
About the family: scaRNAs are a specific class of small nuclear RNAs which localise to the Cajal bodies and guide the modification of RNA polymerase II transcribed spliceosomal RNAs U1, U2, U4, U5 and U12. ACA57 belongs to the H/ACA box class of guide RNAs as it has the predicted hairpin-hinge-hairpin-tail structure, conserved H/ACA-box motifs and is found associated with GAR1.
Source: Rfam by way of RNAcentral
UCGGCCUGGCCUAUGCCAUUUCUGCUCCCCCGUGCUCAGUCCUAACACGGUAGUCUGGCAGGACACGCAGCGAUCUCCCUCUCAGUUUAGGAGGGCUGGCAAGAGAGGACAAU